Molecule: long non-coding RNA, 368 nt
Filed under: Hordeum vulgare
Lineage: Eukaryota; Viridiplantae; Streptophyta; Magnoliopsida; Poales; Poaceae
Description: long non-coding RNA (HVUL_LNC007132)
Source: RNAcentral
CCAUAUAUUGAUGAAAUAACAAGAGUCUUACAAUCGUUCAUUACAUAGUUGGCCAUGCAGGGAGGAACGCAAUUACAAAGCACACCAUCGGACCUGCUAUCAAAACUAAAUUUAGCUAUCUCAUGUGUGACCUUGUUCGCGUGCCUAUCAAUCAUAACAACCUUGAGCUCCUUAAUAAACUUGGAGGCACUCAUUGCUUCCUUUUUUAGAUCCACAUAAGGAGACUUGUCAACAGUUUCUUUCGCUAGAAAAGAUGCAGCAAAAAAGCAGUUAGUUUCCAAAAUAAUUGGUCUGUGAAGAGUAAUAUCAAUGUACAACCCGGCUAGGCACGCAGGAAGUUCCUCUUCCUCCGCUCCGAAGCACACUUG